UGACUAAGCCCUCCAAAAUGGGCAGGGCAUCUGGCUAUAUAAGCAGGCAUUUGCCACAGGAUUCUCAGGUUACUUCGACUGAGUCGUGCAGCUACACAGCACAGCUAGCAACGCAGUACUCAUUUCCGUAUCUCAGUGAACCGAGGUUAUAUCUAGUAACAGAAAACAUUACCUUUCGAUACUACACGCGUACUGCAUUUGCUAGACGCAUAUGGGAACAGUACAAUCAAGCGAUAGUGACCAAAUGUUUGCAGACUGAAGCGGUUUGAAGGCAGUGCCCUUUAGGGCCUUCAGCACAGUGGGCAGAUCCCAUGAAGGGACAGUAAGGGGUUGAGGCAGGUUCAGCCUCCUGGCACCCCUUAAGAAACGAAUAACCGAGCUAUUUCUGCCCACUGACUGGCUCAAGAGGCUGCUAUAGCUGCCACAUAGACUUUGAGCGUGGAUGGGGAGCAUCUUUAAUUCCUCAACUCUUGCAGAAAUGACAGCACCUCUGUCAAAUCGGAAGUAUGAUGAAAAAAAAAGACACCUUCAAGGCGUACAGGCAUUUCGUAGAUGGGGUUCUAGCCUCUGAAAUUGUGAUUAAGACUUGCUCUGGGAGGCUCAAAGGCUCCCGUCGAUUGGCCAGAGGUGCAAGGCACAUCGGUCGGGCCGAGGAUGCCAUAUUGUCCCAUUCGUUUGAGAGACGAGAUCCCAUUUCAGUGGAAUGGGCCAAGGGGCCGCCAUCAACAGAUGAGUUAGCCAAGGCUAGUUCAUCCAAAAGGGGGCCACCAGGAGAACCAUGUGAUUUUGUUCCCUUACUUGCCUGAUUACCUGUGGGAUCAGGGGAAAAGCAUAGAGGAGGAGGUUGGGCCAAUCGUGGGCCAACACAUCCUUGAUCUUUACUAAAUAAAUUGGGCAAUGAGACUUGUCUUCUGAGGCAAAGAGGUCUACCUCGGCCUCGCGGAAGAUCUCCCAGCUCCUCCUAACCAUCUGUGGAUGGAAUGUCCACUCCCCUGAGGGGACAUUGCUCCUUGAUAACAUGUAAGCUUCUUGGUUCAGUUUGCCUGGUAUGAUACCACAGACAUGUUGUCUGAUCGGAUCAGCACAUGGUGUCCUUUUAGGUCUGGCAGGAAGAACUGACAGGCCUGACAUUCUGCUAGUAUUUCCAGGCAGUUGAUGUGAAAGCCUUCUUCCGCUUUCGACCAGUGGUUGGUAUGUCCUCGCAUAGUGCCCCCCAACUUGAGUUGGAGGCAUCUGUCGUGACAACUGUUCUUCUGCAAAUCAUCCCCAUGUCCAUGCUGGUUCCAUUCAACAUUCUUUCAGGGGGCUAGGGCUGUUAUAUAAGCCUGACUCAACCUGAUCUGCAGGCGUCCAUGACACCACGCUUAGAUGGAACUCGUGGUUUCAACCAGCGCUGAUGGGGAUGCAUACGAAUCUGACCCAAAUGUAGCACUGGUGAAUAUCAUCAUUUUAUUAUCCUCAUAACCCAUCUUGACAACUCUGGGGAUGGCCUGCCAGACCUCGGCCUGCGUGGUGAGGGGUUGAAUUAACUAGAGUGACUAGCCAAAGGGA
Long non-coding RNA from Carassius carassius (crucian carp), 1551 nucleotides. RefSeq lists it as uncharacterized. Lineage: Eukaryota; Metazoa; Chordata; Actinopteri; Cypriniformes; Cyprinidae. The transcript is spliced from 3 exons. The record is from RefSeq and is a predicted model, not a curated record.